Molecule: long non-coding RNA, 8302 nt
Organism: Gallus gallus (chicken)
Lineage: Eukaryota; Metazoa; Chordata; Aves; Galliformes; Phasianidae
Exons: 6
Source: RefSeq, a predicted model, not a curated record
GAGGCCACCGGGGAGGAGCCCGCCGGGACCGGUGCGACCCAGCAGCACGGCGGAGCCGGGACGUGCCCGAAGCGCCGGGAGGAAAGACCAGCCGGGGAUAAACGCCGCGGGGGCAGCGGGCGGGAAGGAGCCCCCCGGCGCUGAGCCAAGGGUGGCAAUGAAAUGUUACAGCAAGAGCCUGAAGCCGCAUAAAAGCAGAACGCAGCCAACACGUCUCCCAGCAGAAGGAGCUGAAGGGCAACCCCAACACAGACAGGUGGUCACCAUCACCCCGCUUCCACCUCCUGUGACGGACAGGUCUGACCCGCGCGAAGUGCUGGAAAGAGGUUAGGAGACAGCAAGCAUGCUCAGCGCCAGGUGUCUGCAAAGAGCUGAAAGUGGCUCAGUGUGGCACCAGGCAGAGCUGAGGAACCACGCCAGGCAGCAGCAGUGACCCCUGUGCCCACCGUCUUUCGAGCUUAUGGGUCCACUCCCUUUUCAUGGUGCAUCUAUGAGCUAUUAGCAGAUGAAGUGCUUUUUUAUAUAAUCAUUACAUACAUCAUGACUCUGCUGUUAACACCACCCCUUUUUUUCCUCCCACAUUUCAUGUUUACUAAUAGAGAAGGGGUCAGUAGUGUGCUAACGCAGAAGGAAUAGACACAGUCAAGUAUAAACUUACCUAAAUGGUUCAGCACUCAACUAAUACCAUCAUGGUAGCUGAAGUACACUCACUUCCCUCAGCACUUUACACCUUUCCCUGACCAGCUGCAUUUUUUUGUGUUUAAGACAAGCACUGAGUGUGGUUUUGCCUUACUCAAGCCGGUUUGUUGUUCAACUGCAGGGGAAGUAUCAUCUUCAAUUCAUUCACCUGAAAAUCCCUUAACAAGUUAAGAUGCACCAAGGCCUACCGAAAGUGGACCUUAAUAUUCCUCUAUAUAGUAAGCAUACAGUAUAAUUCAGUUUCAUUACAGUUAGUCUUAUUUUUCAUGCUGAUAUUAUAUGUGCUUUCACAUGAGACUAAACAGCAGAAGCACCUGCAUUUGGAGGUCCUUUAUGUGCUUUUUUUUUUUUUUUAAAUAAUCUUAUAUUCCCUAGUAAGUAUUGCAGAUAACAGGUGUGCUUAUUGUACAAGUGUUCAUUCUGCAAAGUUUCAACACAAGAAAACAUACCUGGAAUUGGACAUUUUUCAAGGACAACAAAGAGAUACCUAGUAUUUCUUCCCUCAGCCUAAGAAUUUGCUUUCCAAGCUGUGAACCUCUGAUGAUUCCUUGGAGAAGUGUGGAUACAAAAUAUACAAUACUCGACAAAGCAGGCACAGAACCUUGAGGGAAAUACAUAACAUUUUGCAGUGUAAUAGAUAACAUCAGAAAUGUGGCUUCCCUUUUCCUGGGGUUCCACUGAAACAAAGGGCAUUUUUUUUCUCUCCUAUCCUUCCAGGAAUGGAACAACACAAAGAGAAUAUAGAUGGUAUCACAAAGAAAGAUGAGGAUGCUUUAGUCUUGUUUUACUCCUUGGAAUUAAUGAGUUUGCAAAGUUUUUUUUUUUUUUUAAAUAAAGAUUCACUAAAAGUAGUUGCACACCAUGUUUUCCUUCCCCUUGAAAAACACUCCAUGAAAGCAACCAAUAAAAUUCUAAUUAAUGAGAAUAAGUUAAAUUUCUUGUCUGUCUCUGUUAAGCAGGUUGUAUAGUUGUCUAGGGGACAAAAGCUAAUGGUAGAGGUUGUGCCUCCAAGCAUAAACUAAGGUUUAGAUUUUGUUCUGAUUUCAUUCUUUGACUUGUGCCAUUUGUGGAUUAUGUCAUCCAUGGAUGCACCUCCUGGAAAGCCCUUAAAAUGAUGCAUAAGUCUUGAUAGGAAAAGUAUGUGAAUUCAUCAUAAAUUUAAAAUAAUCUUAGAACAAAAUAUUUACAGCUUUCUGCAUCCUAUCCAAAUUUAAUGACUUAAUGUAUGUUUAUCAGAAUGAUGUAUAUAUAUAUACACACACAUAACAUCAUAGAGCACUGAUGAUUCUGCUGGCUAAAAAUUGUUUCCUCAAAUACCUUAAACAAAUCAUCUUCCUCAUAAUACAUCUCUUAAAUGGUCGUUUCAUUCUGCAAGCAGAAAGCAUCUCUGACUCCAGUUGAAAUAGAUGAAGAUUUUUAGUUAAACUGCAGAGAAGAAAUUAGCUGCAAAAUGUACAUGACUGAAUACAACCUGGGUCAACCUGGAAUUCAGUCUUUAAAAUUAUAUAUAUCUGUACAUAAUUUUGGAGCAAUUGUGACUGAUAAGGACAAUAAAACAACCUCUGCUUGCAAGAGAAUUUGGAAGUUUUCUUCCAUCUUAAGAAGGAUUACAAGCAUAGUGUGCCUUCUCAUUCACGUACAGACAAUGUCUGUCUACUGACUAAAAAUGUUUGGAACAUAAUGAAAUGGCAAGUAUAUUUUCACUCUUUCAUAUUUUUGCAGAAACAGUUGUAAUUGUACUACUUAGUUUCUCAGCAUUGCAAAGCAGCAUAAUAAACUGUUUUCUGGAGACAGAUAGCUCAGACCCUGCUGCUUAAGAAUAUUCAAUAGAAAUGACAUGAAAUGAGCUUUUUAAGGUGUGACUCAGUCAUGAGAGAGCCGUACAAGGGCUGCUACUGCUGAUAGAGAUGUUUAUCGUCAUCUCAUCUACGUAACAAUGAGAAAGCCAGGAACCUGAAGGGAGUGAGGAGGAGACUGAAGAAAAGCAUGCUUAGAAAAGAAACCGCUGUGAAGUGAAAAAUUGUUGACUAUCCAGUGGUAAAAUAGAAAGCUUGAAAAACCCCACAGAAGAAGGAAAAGAUCGUCUAUCAGCAACACCCACACAUAUGUGUGUCAUUGCUCUGCCCUUCUGCUACACUGACGUGCUUGGUGGAAACGUUGCAGUUCCCUGGCUGGACAAACUGUGUCACGCCUGUCAGCAACAGAAGUUCUGUACAGUGCUGCUUUCUCGCUGCAGGAGGCAACGUGUGCAGCCAAGCAGUUUUAGCCGUGUAACUGCCACAUCAGCAGGACAGGGGAGAAGGAUGCCUGACAACUAGAAGAAGACAAGGAGGCCAGGAGGAGAGAGGAUGUUAAGAGGACUUGAGAGAAAAAGUAUAGAAGUACCGGCUAAGGUGCCAACUGUUCACUUUCAAGGAGGAUUUACCAUAAAAUUCCAUGAUAAUAGCAAGCUUAAGCUCUCUAAAUAAAACAGAUUUUUAAUGGACUUCUGAGACCUGAUGUAAAAAGGAUGGGUGGAUCCCAGGAGAAACAAAAUGCUUGCAUGUAUAAGAGAUAUCUGCCAGAAAUACAUGGAUGACCAUUUACUACAGCAGCAGCAGAAUGUGCCUGCUAUGGCUACUACUUCUAAAACAAAACAAAAGGAAACAGCAGAAAUAAAAAACCAGUCACUGGCAAGAAUAUCUCCUUGCUGUAAAUUGGAUAGGUUUUAAAAAAUUGACAGCACUGUUCCUUCUGUUCUGAACAGGAGAUCUCCAGGUCCAGAACAACUCAUCAUAAAGAUACCUUCCUUAAUUAGAGUAGAAGUCACAUAUUUUGGGUCCACAUGAAGGUAAUAAGUGGUAGCAGUUAUAUGAAAUUAGAGGCAGGUGUGGUUACUAACAAAAGCGGAAGUAAAAACAAAUAACAUGCCAGGUGCUGAAGAAACUCCCAGAUAGGAAGUUUUGCGUACACUGUGAGCCCAAAUCUAAUCUGAUCUGAAGCUGAAAUUUGACUGCUAGUCCAAACCAUAUAUGUUUUUGCAUUUUGAAUGCAGGGAGAUUGUAAGUAUAUGCUUACUUCUGAGAGUAGUCCUCCAGAGAUUUGCUUUGUUUCCUUAUAGAAUUAUGAAGGUAAGUCAGCAUAUUGCCCAGAAAGUGUUUUUUUUUUUUUUUUUUUUUUUUUUUUUUAAACAACUACUGACAUCAUAAUUUGGCAAAUUGAUCUUAAAAAGAUUAAGUAGCUAUGCUGUGGUAAAAUAAAACAUCCAUUUCCCCUAAAAAAAUAUUUCCUGAUGCAUAUGCAACAAGUAUUACUAAUGAAGGAGAAAAUAAAUCAUUUAAAUCCCCGGGACUUAAUGUUGAAGUACUUUUCUUUUUCAGUAAGUAGCUAAAAAAGCAGAAGAGCACACAGACAAGGAAUCAUUUUACUGAAAAGAACUAGUUUUAAUUCCAGUAAUUUAGGGAAUCGAGUGAAUACCUCCUGAAAUAAGUAUUCUACAGUCAUUUUAGAUCAUUGGUUUGUGGUUUUUAUUGCCAAGUAAUAGUAAAAUUGAGCAAAUAAGUAUAUUUCUAGUACUUCAGCCUCAGAAUGUCUCCCACAGGAAGCAACAUGAAAAUAAUUUGGCUAGUAGUUCCUUUAUUUGUUGAUCCUCAGCUUCUUUGCAGGUCACGUUAAAUAAAGAGGCAAUAGCAAAAGGCAGUGUUUUUCAUGAAUUACUCAAGUCAAAUGAGCCAGAUGUGGCAGAACUAAGAAAUAGCAGGGCCUGAUACACUCUUUUGUUAAUUCCACUAAUUCUAGCUUAAUACUGGAGUAACACUGGUAAAAAGCGACCCAUAUUUUAAUUUAAAACCUCUAAUAUUCAUCUAUUAUUUAUAAGAAUAUAUAACAAAUAAUUGUGGCAAACAUUGCAUAAUAAACAUGAAAGGGAGAUUAACCUUGUGAAUUUUUAAGCUGAAGAAUAAAGACCAUUACAUUAAUAAGACUUAAUUAUAUCAUAAAAUAUUUAAAAUUAUGUCCUCUAAUAAAUGUUGUUUUUAUUUAACAUAUUUCUUUUUUUAAUCUAUUACUUUAGUAAAAUGCCUUUAAGAUGGAAACAAAAGGCAGCAGAGCUUUCUUUGUUGAUAUCUAUGCAAUUAUAGAAGAAGGGAGCCACAUGUCUUCAAGUCAAGGUCAGAUUUCAGGACAGAACAGCCUAUACUUCCGCAAGGCUCAACUCCUGGCCUAGAUGGGCUGGUGGGGGGCUGCAUCUUCAACCUUCCCUCUUCCCUCCAAUAAUGCCUCAAUUUUAUAAGACUGGCUUGGCUCUAUCCACAAUAAUGACUUAAAUAAUACAUGUAAAGCUCACCAGUUAAGUUUCUAGUCUUCCACUUACCAUGUAACACUACAAAAAAAAGGUAUAGAGGACAGCAUUCAAACACCAGCUUCUAUUCUGCAUGGGUAAGUUCACCCUUACUAUUGCAGACAAAUAGCAGGUGUAAAAGCAAUAGUAGGAAAUGAUAAGGAAACCUUCAGUGAAGUUAGCAUCUUGAAAGAUACAGCAAGGGUCAUUCUGUUUGCAAAAACUGGAAGACACGGGCUUUGCAAGGAAUACAGCUGACUCCAAUAUCCUUGUGUCCAUGUCACAAGUCCUUUUCUUUACAAUAGUUCAUCUCAGCUUAUUUCCUCAAGAAAUUACUAUUGUUCUUCAAAAGACAAAACCUAAGAAGUUGCAGUGAAAAUCAAACCAAACACCAGGCAAUUAUUCAACUCACACCAGACAAGCCAAAUGUCCUGGAAGAAUUUUUUUUUUUCUCCAGCACAACUCCAUAACUUUUGAUGUCUUCCUAUAAUUAUAACAUUUCGAUACAGCAUUUCUCUCUUGAGCCCACUGUUCUUUGUGUCUUGUCUAUACUGCAUAUCCAGGUAGCCUGCAUGCCUCAGCUUUCAACUGAAAAAACUAUGCUCUAUAUAUAUUUGCAGAAACACUGAUUAAAAUCAACUGCAAACACUAACAAAUCAAAUCUACCUCAUCAACAUUACAGAUUUAUCACAGUAAGGCUACAAUGUAAUGGUCUUUUAGUGGAAAUUCUCUUCAUUUACAAUCGCACAAAUACGAGGCCCUAUCCAUGAAGCUGUUUUGCUUUUUUCCAGCUAAGUCAUUCUUUUCUGUUUACUAGAGUAGUGCUGUUUCUGAUUUCAUCCCUACAAAUUCUGUUUAUUUUUGUAAUAUUCUUUUGACUUGUCUUCUGUAGAUUAUGUGUUUUGUUGCUACAAUUGUCUUCCCACUAUCCCUCACCAUUUCCCACUCACACAUCUGUCAUCAUCCAUACUGUAAUUACAGAAAUGUUAUUUGCUGGUAGACAGAUGCAUAGGGUUGCUCACAGGAGUACUGCCAUUAUUCAGUGCAAAUAGUAUACAGAAUAUUAAAGAAUCAUAGGAAUCAAGUUUUACUAAAAGAGUAUUCUGCAAGUUACCAAAACAAACACUGAACUAAGUGUGGUUCUUGUUUACACAUUGGACAACUGUCAUCUAAAACUAGGUAACAUUUAUUUCAAUCUGGCAGCUCCAAGUGCACUGGAGAUACAAAGUCUUUUAAUUAACAUGCACGGUACUGCAAAUAUACACAGGUGUAGACAUCUUUCAGUAGGUAUAGCUGCCAGUCACAUCACAUUGCUACAGUUGUUUGUUUUUUUUUUUUCCUUUCAAUGAACAAGUGAAAAAUGGGGUUAAAAAGCAAACAAGCACUGAGCCUUCACUUCAGUAUCUUCCUGAAAAUAAGGCAUGACAUUACUUGGAAUAGCUAUAAAAAUGAGUAGUUUGUCUUUUUUGAGCAGCAUCAUAUUAUACUGCUUUAUUUAACUAAGAGUCAAGAAGCAGCACACAUAAUAAGUAGGCUUCCAUUAGAGAUACUUUUUUUUUUUUUAAGAGUUAUUUAGCUUUGCUUUGAAGUUUUCAUAAAUAAGGCACCUGUUUCCAACUGUCUAAAGAAUCAACAAGUUAUAUAGUACUUAAUAUUAAAAAUGUUCAUCUGUAGAACAAAUAAGGAAUACAGCAUCUAUGAUAGGUAAAAUGGAUCACUGCUGAAAUACAAGGAAUAGAAGUCUUCCUUAACAUACAUACAAACCAACAUAGUUAAGCCAACAUUGAAAAACCCCUGGCAAGUAUUUAUCAUCAUGCCACUAAAAUUUCACCUUGGAAUGUGUUUCAGCUAUACACAACAGCAUGUAAAAGGCUCCACAUCUAGCCUCUACAUUGGUUAAGCUGGAAAAGAAAGAGUGAAGAUAGUGCCAGUACAGAAAAGAAUGAUGGAAACAUUGCAUCGAAGAUGCUUUCCCAUGGUGAUUCUGCCUUUCCCUUUGACUUCAGCCAAAGCAGAAGAUUCUCAGCAGCAUGCCCCACGCUUUUUCCCCUCCCAAACGCUAGCCUUGCAACUGCCAUAACACAAAAGCACAUAUAGGGGCAUGAGUACACAAAUGCACAUAUAGACUGCUCAUACUGUAGAGGCUUACAAGUGCUCAGUAUAUUGUAAGAUCACUUCUGAAAAGCCAGCAACUGCUGUCAUUGAAUAAGAUAGGAUUUACCACUUGCUUUUUAUAGUUCAGCCCAGACAUGUUUAGAUGAGUGUAUGGUUUUCACAUAAAGCUUUCUGUUAAAGUGCCUUCAGACAGACUUUUAGUCUCCACACAACAGUUCACUGCACACCCUCACUGAGUUGUCUCAUAUAUAAUUUAAAUGUUUAAUGCAAAGUAAAGCUAAUGUUAACAAUACAUAUUUUUGAAGACUGACAGUAUAAUGCUUUGUUUCCUAAAGGAAUAACUAGAGUGAUCCAUAAGCAAAUAUAAACUCAAGUAACACUGAACAGAUAUAAAUUGUGCUCAUCCUUGAGAAACCUUAGAGAGCAUGAUUCUCAUCCUCCUUCUUAGCUAGGCAAAGUGCGAUUUACUGUGGUUUUCUUUCAGAUGAGGUAUUAAAAGCUGCAGUGCACUCCCUAAUGUAUUAGUAUGAAUGAUACUUUUGGAACUGUGAUGUCUGAUAAACACUGCGUGCUGCUGACUGAUGGCUCUUUCUAGCCUAGAAUGAUACUUUGACUUAGUAGGUUUGUGUGAGCUCAGAGCAAAAGCUAAGAAUAUUUAGAAGCUGAGGAUUUAAAAUUAGUAUAAAUAUAAUAUCAUUCAAAUUAAUAGGAAUAUCCUCUCAAGCCAUCCUGAAUGUUCCUUUAGGGUUUUCCCUUGCAGGAAAUUACUGGAUAUUAUCCUAGCACGGUUCUGGACAUUCUUUACAGCUAAUCAUUCUCCAAGCCCAUGGAUGACAAUCCCCAUAAGCAGGAUCAGAGACAGCAGAGUCAUCCUCCUUGUGAACAUGCACAUUCUCUUGUGUCCUUGCUGCAAGGGCCCCAGAUUCUUUUAUAAACCACUCAGAAGCAGCAGUUCUGCUAACUGUAUGAUUAAUACCUGCUCAAUAAGAAGGUGGUAUCUUCCACAUACAAUAAAUGUAGAUGAUUGUGACAACAACGCUGAGGAAAUGAUUUAGAAAUGGGUAAAAAGAUAAACUCAGAAGAUUAAUCUUUGGCAGUUUUUCUUAAGCUGUGUUAUUGUCUACUGUGUAUAGUAAAUACACAUUAAAUAAAAGAGAACUUUCUUACUAA